UAGUAAAAUACAGUUUGUGUUAAUCUCCACACAGUAUGUCUCCUUUAUCUGUUACUGUUACUGUACCUCGAACAGGUGCUUUACUGUUGAAACUAUGAAAAUUGAAGCAUUCAAUCAUAAAGAACGGUCUAUGUAACGCAUAUCAAUCUGUAACAAUAUGUUAUAUUGUGCAGAAGUUGUCGAAUAAUAUAAUGAUGCAAACUCAGGAGGCAUGGUGGCAAUAUAGAAUGACCUUUUCUCAAACGGUAUGUGGUUUUAUUUGUGCAACACACUUACACAUGCGCGUUUCACUGUAUGCCACUUAAGUUCAACAGUUAGCCAAAUAGUAGCUUGCAUUGGUAUCUGUACAGGCCGAACUUUGCAGUUUGCACUUAGUUGAAAAAAAAAACAACGCCCGCGAGCGAAGUGAAGAGUAAACUGAAAAUUUGCCCCGGAAAACGAUUUGAAGCACUUGGAGUGGUCGGGCUGAAACAAGGGAUUCCGGAACUUGAUGUCAGCGAUAGAAACUUGAUUCGGACUGACUGUGCGACUGCGAGGCGUCCCGCUAAAGGGUGUAGUCGUAGUGAAGGAUUCGAAUUGCGGCGGGCGGAAAUUGGAUGCUCCUUACGAUGGAAAAAUCCGCCAGUUAAUUAGUCAAUCGCUGUAGGUAAUUGACAAGCCUAGCUUGGAGCGUUGAAUAAAAAAUCCGAUGAACUCAUAA
Aedes albopictus (Asian tiger mosquito) is the source of this 700-nucleotide long non-coding RNA. RefSeq lists it as uncharacterized. Lineage: Eukaryota; Metazoa; Arthropoda; Insecta; Diptera; Culicidae. The transcript has 2 exons. The record is from RefSeq and is a predicted model, not a curated record.